Caenorhabditis elegans is the source of this 144-nucleotide non-coding RNA. The record is from Ensembl. Lineage: Eukaryota; Metazoa; Nematoda; Chromadorea; Rhabditida; Rhabditidae.
UUCUCCGGGGGCGCUUCUUCAUUGAAGAGAGAGACCUCCCGCCACUCUUCUUUGAAGAGACAAUCUGUGAACUUUGGCAAACUGUCAGCGUGUCUAGAACUCUCUUCAUUUAUCCUUACUCUCCAAUUUUUGGGACGGGUAGGA